This 429-nucleotide ribosomal RNA is filed under the name Bacteroidota bacterium. RNAcentral describes it as "Bacteroidetes bacterium partial 16S ribosomal RNA". It matches the Rfam family "Bacterial small subunit ribosomal RNA", at positions 355 to 776 of the family's 1533-position model. Lineage: Bacteria; Pseudomonadati; Bacteroidota. The record is from RNAcentral.
UAGGGAAUCUUCCGCAAUGGACGCAAGUCUGACGGAGCAACGCCGCGUGAGUGAAGAAGGAUUUCGGGUCGUAAAACUCUGUUGUUAGAGAAGAACAGCGCAUAGAGUAACUGUUAUGCGUGUGACGGUAUCUAACCAGAAAGCCACGGCUAACUACGUGCCAGCAGCCGCGGUAAUACGGAGGGGGCAAGCGUUAUCCGGAAUUAUUGGGCGUAAAGCGCGCGUAGGCGGUCAAUUAAGUCUGAUGUGAAAGCCCCCGGCUCAACCGGGGAGGGUCAUUGGAAACUGGUUGACUUGAGUGCAGAUGCGGUGAGUGGAAUUCCAUGUGUAGCGGUGCAAUGCGUAGAUCUAUGGAGAAACCCCAGUGGCGAAGGCGACUCUCUGGUCUGUAACUGCCGCUGAGGUUCGAACGCGUGGGUAGCAACCAGG